This 418-nucleotide ribosomal RNA is filed under the name uncultured bacterium. RNAcentral describes it as "bacterial SSU rRNA". It matches the Rfam family "Bacterial small subunit ribosomal RNA", at positions 355 to 771 of the family's 1533-position model. The record is from RNAcentral.
UAGGGAAUAUUGGUCAAUGGAUGCAAGUCUGAACCAGCCAUGCCGCGUGCAGGAAGACGGCCUUCUGGGUUGUAAACUGCUUUUGUCAGGGGAUAAAAUUUCCUUGCGAGGAAAAUUGAAGGUACCUGGCGAAUAAGCCACGGCUAACUACGUGCCAGCAGCCGCGGUAAUACGUAGGUGGCAAGCGUUGUCCGGAUUUAUUGGGUUUAAAGGGUGCGUAGGCGGCCUAUUAAGUCAGUAGUGAAAUAUCACAGCUCAACUGUGAGGGUGCUAUUGAUACUGAUGGGCUUGAGUACAGAUGAGGUAGGCGGAAUUGACGGUGUAGCGGUGAAAUGCAUAGAUAUCGUCAAGAACACCGAUAGCGAAGGCAGCUUACUAAGUUGUAACUGACGCUGAUGCACGAAAGUGUGGGGAUCAA